CCUACGGGAGGCAGCAGUGAGGAAUAUUGGUCAAUGGGCGAGAGCCUGAACCAGCCAAGUCGCGUGAGGGAGUACUGCCCUAUGGGUUGUAAACCUCUUUUGUCGGGGAGCAAAAGCCGGACGUGUCCGGCUGUGAGAGUACCCGAAGAAAAAGCAUCGGCUAACUCCGUGCCAGCAGCCGCGGUAAUACGGGGGAUGCGAGCGUUAUCCGGAUUUAUUGGGGUUAAAGGGUGCGCAGGCGGAUUUUUAAGUCAGCGGUCAAAUCGUGGGGCUCAACCCCAUCCAGCCGUUGAAACUGGGGAUCUAGAGUGUGCGAGAGGUAUGCGGAAUGCGUGGUGUAGCGGUGAAAUGCAUAGAUAUCACGCAGAACCCCGAUUGCGAAGGCAGCAUACCGGUGCACAACUGACGCUCAGGCACGAAAGCGUGGGUAUCGAACAGGAUUAGAUACCCCAGUAGUC
Molecule: ribosomal RNA, 458 nt
Filed under: uncultured bacterium
Lineage: Bacteria
Description: partial 16S ribosomal RNA
Rfam family: Bacterial small subunit ribosomal RNA
Source: RNAcentral